CCUACGGGCGGCUGCAGUAGGGAAUUUUCGGCAAUGGGGGGAACCCUGACCGAGCAACGCCGCGUGAAGGAAGAAGUUAUUCGUAAUGUAAAGUUCUUUUAACAGGGAAGAAAGAGAAAUUGUACGGUACCUGAAGAAUAAGCUCCGGCAAACUACGUGCCAGCAGCCGCGGUAAUACGUAGGAAGCGAGUGUGAUCCGGAAUGAUUGGGCGGAAAGGGUGCGUAGAUGGCAUAGUAAGUCUAUUGUAAAAAUGCUGGGCUCAACCCAGUAGGGCAAAAGAUACUGCAAAGCUAGAGUAUGAUAGAGGCAAGUGGAACUACAUGUGUAGCGGUAAAAUGCGUAAAUAUAUGUAAGAACACCAGUGGCGAAGGCGGCUUGCUGGGUCGAUACUGACAUUGAGGCACGAAAGCGUGGGGAGCAAACAGGAUUAGAUACCCUAGUAGUC
RNAcentral lists this ribosomal RNA (446 nucleotides) under uncultured bacterium. RNAcentral's name for it is "partial 16S ribosomal RNA". It matches the Rfam family "Bacterial small subunit ribosomal RNA", at positions 338 to 795 of the family's 1533-position model. The record is from RNAcentral.